Molecule: unclassified non-coding RNA, 2393 nt
Filed under: Anneissia japonica
Lineage: Eukaryota; Metazoa; Echinodermata; Crinoidea; Comatulida; Comatulidae
Description: pseudouridine-metabolizing bifunctional protein C1861.05-like, transcript variant X4
Source: RNAcentral
GUUUUGUUGGUUUUGUUUCGUUGGGUUCACACGUGUGUCUGAUGACCGGGAUGAUGAUUGUGUUUUGUGUUAGAGGUGUUGGAUGAUUAUACCCUCGAUUUAUUAGUUUUAUUUAAAGUGUUAAUAAGAAAGAAAAUAAGAAUUUAAUAAGGGCCUAGGCCUAUUCAUUCAUCACCUAACAAGAUGGUCUACUGUCAAAGAAGUUGGAAAGUCGCCAGAAAAUUAUCCAGCAUCAACUUUGCUGCAGCUAUUGGUAAUCAUGGCAUUGUUUGUAAGCAUUUUAUAAACACAGGUAUUCUUGAGCUGAGUCAAGAAGUUCAAAAAGCACUGAAGUAUGGUUCACCCUUGGUGGCACUAGAAAGUACCAUCAUCACACAUGGGAUGCCAUACCCAUUCAACCUCAGAACUGCUCAGUCAGUGGAGCAGAUUGUUCGUGAUGGUGGAGGAGUUCCGGCUACCGUUGCAGUAUUUGACGGUAAAAUUCAUGUUGGGUUGACUACUAACCAACUUGAAAGAUUAGCAACUUGCAAGGAUGCUCUCAAGACCUCCAGGAGAGACCUAGCGUGGUCUGUCAGCCAAGGCAAAGUUGGUGGAACUACUGUAGCAGCAACUAUGAUCGCUGCGCACUUGGCUGGUAUACGUAUAUUUGUAACAGGCGGUAUUGGUGGCGUACAUCGGGGCGGCCACAAUAGUAUGGAUAUCAGCUCAGAUCUGACAGAGCUUGGUAGAACACCCGUGGCAGUGGUUUGUGCUGGUGCAAAGUCUAUAUUAGACAUUGGAAGAACUCUAGAAUAUUUAGAAACCCAGGGAGUAACAGUAGCAACAUAUGGGGAUUCAAAGUAUUUCCCAGCUUUCUUUGCACCAGCCAGCCCGUACUUGUCCCCUUGUAACAUUUCAAAUGCAACGGAAGCGGCUCAGGUUUUUGCAACAAAUGAAUCACUUGAACUGAAUAGUGGAGUUCUGAUUGCAGUUCCAAUCCCAGAAUGCAAUGCCAAGGACAGCAUUCAGGUGGAGCAUGCCAUACAAGAAGCCAUAGCUGAGGCAGAACACAAGGUACAAGUUGGAAAGGAUGUUACACCAUACAUCCUGAAAAGAGUCAAUGAAAUCACAGGAGGAAAGGCUCUUGAAGCUAAUAUUGCAUUGGUGAAAAAUAAUGCCAAAGUAGGAACUGAAAUAUCUGUAGAAUACAGCAAAAUCCGUGCUCAAAAAUCCUACAGAAUUGGGUCAAAGGGCGGAAACAGUACUCAACACAGCUACAGAGGACGACAGAGUAGUAAAGUGGCCAGAAGACCAGUAGUGGUUGGUGCCAGUAUAUAUGACUUGAAUGUCAUGACUUAUGGAACUGAUGUUAUUUAUGGUGGUACCACUAAUCCUGGUUCAAUCCAACAGGGAGUUGGUGGUGUUGGCAGAAACAUAGCGGAUUGCUUGUCAAGACUCGAUGUAGAUCCAUUAUUUAUAUCUGUUGUAGGAGAUGACAUUGAAGGUCAAAGUUUGAUGAGCCAAUCAAACCAUAUGGACACCAGUUGCAUUACUGUGCUGAUUGGUGAGAGGACGGCCUCAUACUGUGCUGGGUUGAAUGGCAGUGGUGAUGUGUUCCUAGGAGUUGGUGAUGCUAAGAUUUGUGAUCAAAUAACACCUGAGCUAGUCAGUGGUUACAAAGAGGUCAUUUCACAGGCACCCCUUGUGUGUAUAGAUGGUAACAUUCCAAGGGACACCAUUCAAUAUGUGUGUGAUGUAUGUAAUGAUCAUAAUAUACCAAUUUGGUAUGAGCCUACCUGUGCACUGAAAGCUAUAAAACCAUUUGAAACAAACGCUGGAAAAUUCCUCACCUAUGUUAGUCCAAAUCUCAGGGAACUACGUCAAAUGUACGCUGCUGUUGAAGGACACCAGCCUCAAUCUGUACAUGAUGAAGACAUGUCGUUGACUGACAUUAUUCGAGAGUGUCAUCAUCUUUGCAGCGUAUUAAUUAGUCAUGGCCUUCAUUGCAUCAUAUUGACUCUCGGUCCAGAUGGCAUUCUUGUCUGUCGUAACACCGAACCGGAAGAUAUGUUUCCAUGCAGUUAUGUGACAAGGCGUAAUUUGGUGGCCAUGCUACAAUAAAGAGAAGGGCACAAGAUCGCACUGUACGGCAGAAACUAUGAACAACCAACUCAUACAAAGGGCUGCUGCAAUAAGUAGAUUACCGAUGAUGAUAUUAUCGUGUCCACUGAAAUCUUCAACGUUUACAGAUAUGAUCGGAGGGGCAGGCCCUAGAAAGGACCCACCCUGGUCUAGGAUGAAUCUGCAAUGAGCAUGGCAUCUCUUCUACAUUACCCAGCAUGCAGUGAGGUGCACUUGCCUGGGGAGGUUGUCAGUGUUUCCGGUGCAGGAGAUUGCCUCGCUUCAGGUGUGAU